UCAACUUCGUGCUCUCUAUAAAGUGGAAAAAUCCCAAUUAUCGAGCCCUAGAUUUCUCACCGCUCAGAGUCGGUCUAGUCUUCUAACAUCGCAGACAAUUUCCCCGAGAAACAAACACAAAGUAAGACUGUGAUAGAGAGCAACUCCGAGAAAGUCCGGGAUAACUGAAACCUAAGAUGACGGACUACGAAGGAAGGUACGAAGGGAACGGAGAGGACGCUGACAACUAUGGCGAUGGGGGUUCCUCUCCCCAACCUCGUGCUACCAACCAUGGCGGUCCCGACGAUUACAGCGAUUCCAAAUCUCAGCAUGGCUCUCGUGACUAUGAGAGAGAAUCUUCAAAGAGUAGAGAAAAGGAAAGAGAAAAGGGGCGUGAUAAGGAGAAGGACAGGGACAGAGAUCGGGAGAGGGAGAGGGACAGAGAUAGAGAUAGGGGGAGAAGCAAGGACAAAGAUAGGGAAAGGGACAGGGACAGAGAUAGGAAUAGGGAUAGGGACCGAGAUAGAGAAAGAGAAAGGUCUCGAGACAGGGAUCGUGAUCGUCAUCAUAGGGACCGCCACAGGGAUCGCGAGAGAAGUGAGCGGAGGAGAGAUAAGGACGAUGACGAUGAUGAUCACUACCGUAUCCGGGACUCUGAUAGGCGGAGGGAUUAUGACAGAGACAGGGAGGAUAGGCAUAGGCGCAAGUCUCGGUCUCAUUCGAGGGGUAGAUCUGAGCACAAAUCCAGAUCGAGGUCACGUUCUCGUUCACGCUCAAAAAGCAAAAGGAUUAGCGGUUUUGACAUGGCGCCUCCUGCUUCUGCAAUGUUAGCUGGUGCUGCCGUUGCUGCAGCAGGGCAAAUUCCUGGGACUAGUCCGACCAUUCCUGGGAUGUUCCCAAACAUGUUCCCUCUAGCGACCGGUCAGCAGUUUGGAUCCCUUCCAGUUAUGCCUGUACAGGCAAUGACUCAACAGGCUACUAGGCAUGCCCGACGGGUGUACGUUGGAGGGCUUCCUCCUACAGCAAACGAACAGUCGGUUGCUACAUUUUUCAGCCAAGUUAUGGCUGCAAUUGGAGGGAAUACAGCUGCCCCAGGAGAUGCUGUUGUCAAUGUUUACAUUAACCACGAAAAGAAAUUCGCUUUUGUUGAGAUGAGAUCGGUUGAAGAGGCCAGCAAUGCAAUGGCUCUGGAUGGAAUUAUAUUUGAGGGAGCCCCUGUAAAGGUGAGGAGACCUAGCGACUACAACCCAUCUCUUGCUGCAACACUUGGUCCAAGCCAGCCAAGUCCCAAUCUGAACCUGGCUGCUGUUGGGCUUACACCGGGUUCUGCUGGUGGGCUUGAGGGUCCUGACCGCAUAUUUGUGGGUGGGCUACCCUAUUACUUCACAGAAGCACAGAUCAAGGAGUUGCUGGAAUCCUUCGGACCCCUUCGUGGUUUUGAUUUAGUGAAAGACAGGGAAACAGGAAACUCAAAAGGCUACGCUUUUUGUGUUUAUCAAGAUCUUUCAGUUACGGACAUAGCUUGUGCAGCACUUAACGGUAUUAAAAUGGGUGACAAGACGCUCACAGUUAGGCGUGCUAAUCAAGGUGCCAACCAGCCCAAACCAGAGCAAGAGAGUGUUUUGUUGCAUGCACAGCAGCAAAUUGCAUUGCAGAGGUUCAUGUUGUUGCAACCGCCUAGUUCUGUCGCCACCAAGGUUGUAUGUUUAACUCAAGUAGUAACUGCAGAUGAGCUUAGGGAUGAUGAUGAGUAUGAAGAUAUUUUGGAAGACAUGAGGCUGGAAGGCGGAAAGUUUGCCUUUUUUGUAGUCACACAUUCUGCUAUAAAGAUUCAGGCCUAACAUUCAGACAGAAGCCUCCCUAACCUUCUAACUGAAUUCAUCUACGAUUUGUUUUGUUGUCUAUUUCUAAGAUCUAUUUGUUUUUCACUGAUUUGCAGGACCGUUAGUGAAUGUCAUCAUCCCACGUCCAAGACCAGAUGGUGAACUGUCACCUGGAGUUGGGAAGGUGUUUUUAGAGUAUGCAGAUGUUGACGGUUCUACGAAAGCCCGCACUGGGUUGAAUGGCAGGAAGUUUGGUGGUAAUCAGGUGGUAGCAGUGUUUUACCCGGAAGACAAGUUUGCCCAGGGCGAUUACGAGGGCUAGUUGUUUGUCCUAAUAUACAUAUUAACUGGAUUGUCAAGAUUUCUUAAUUAGAACUUUCGAGUUUGCUAUUUCCUCAGUGUUCUACAUUUAGUGGUAUCUUGUAGCCUAGUAAGUAAACUAGGAUGAUUGUUCCUUUUUUAGUUUCUUUUUUUGGUUGAAAA
Molecule: non-coding RNA, 2285 nt
Organism: Prunus avium (sweet cherry)
Lineage: Eukaryota; Viridiplantae; Streptophyta; Magnoliopsida; Rosales; Rosaceae
Source: RefSeq, a predicted model, not a curated record